Molecule: long non-coding RNA, 2223 nt
Filed under: Gadus morhua (Atlantic cod)
Lineage: Eukaryota; Metazoa; Chordata; Actinopteri; Gadiformes; Gadidae
Description: lncRNA (ENSGMOG00000035787.1)
Source: RNAcentral
AUGUACCGAUCAAGAUCAACGCCACGUUACAAGGCAACCCUCUCAAAAUGCAUAAUAAAAUUAUCCCCUCUACCUCCCUUCAAAAGUUUGUGGAAGGUGAGGAGACGGGUCCGCGCGCUGUGGCUACAGCCUGCGGACAGCGCACGGACACAGGUGCCGCGACCGGACGGCUCGCCCCCUGUUCAACGGGCACGAGCGCGACGUCUAGGCAGCUCGUUGUUUUUACAGCGGCUGGUUCUGGUACGUCUCCUACGCUCGUUGAGCCUCCUCCCUUUCAUGGGAAGCCCCCCUUGGUUCACACACAGUGUGGAGGCGGUAGGGGCCGAGGAAUACGGGUUAUUCCUGGACGGUCUUCCUCUGCUGUCGGCUCGCCCUCUCUCCGACCGCUAUGCGUGUUGGGAAGAGCGGUGCUUUCUACCAUCGUGGUUGGACAACACGUUGAGAUGGGGCCAUCCCAUACAGUUCAAGCGUCGUCCCCCACCCUUUUUGGGGUUGGUGGAGACCACGCUACGGGACCCGGCUGCGAGCACGGCUCUGGCAGCAGAGGUGGCCCGUCUCUUGGUGAAGGGGGCCAUCACUGUCGUUCCCCCCCACGAGUCUCACCUAGGGUUUUAUUCCCGCUACUUCCUGGUUUCCAAGAAGUCAGGGGAAAAGAGACCUAUUCUGGAUCUUCGUUUGUUCAACAGAUUCGUUGCCGCGAGGAAAUUCAGAAUGCUCACUGUCGGAUCGUUUUUCCGGUGUGUGAGAGAGGGCGAUUGGUUCACAUCCCUGGAUCUCAAGGAUGCUUACUUCCACGUCCCUGUUCGGCAGGCGCACAGGAAGUUUCUCCGCUUUGCCUUUAUGGGGAUGGCGUACGAGUACCAGUGUCUGCCGUGCGGCUACUCCCUGGCUCCGCGCACCUUCUUAAAGUGUUUGGCGUUGGAACUGCUCAGGCGUCAGGGAAAGAGGAUUCUCUUCUACCUAGACAACCUACUUAUUCUGAGCAACGCAGAGGAGGCCGCGAGAAGGGACACCAUGACGGUGAUAAACCAUCUCUCCUUCCUGGGUUUUGCCAUCAACUGGGAAAAGAGCUCCCCGCUCCCCAGCCGGCAGACAGUCUAUUUGGGGCUUUGCCUAGACUCAGCCACCAUGACUGCGAUGCUUUCGCCUCCUCGGCUAGACACCAUCCUGUCGGCGCUCUCCCGUUUUCGCGUUCGCAGAAAUGUGACCGCACUGUCCACGAUGCACCUGUUAGGGCUGAUGGCAGCUGCCCCGUGGUCCCCCUGGGUCUGCUUUUUAUGCGCAGACUCCAGCGGUGGUUUUCUUGCCAACGGUUGGACCCCAGGCGACACAAGCUCAGGGUGCUCCUCGUUCCCCAUUCGGUGUCGCCAUACCUGGAAUAUUGGGCCCUCCCUUCUCAGGGGUGUUCCCCUGGGCAGGGUGGCGUCCUACGUAGUGGUCUUCACGGACGCCUCGUUGACGGGUUGGGGAGGACUGGCCUCUUACUCGGUCGGAGGCGAGUGGCACACGGCCCCUGCAGCACACAUAAAUGUGUUGGAGCUCGACGCUGUGAGGAAAGUGCUGUUGCAUUUCUUUCACCUGGUGCGCGGCCGCCACGUUCUGAUCACGACAGACAGCGUGUCGGCGGCGGCGUACAUCAACAGACGGGGGAGUCUGCUCCCCUGCUCUCCACCGAAAGGUGGUCGAGCUCUGGCUUUGGGCUCAUCAGUAUCUCCUCAGUCUGAGAGCCCUGCAUAUCGCGGGAACCCAGAACUUUGGGGCGGACCUCAUGUCUCGCGGCGUUCCCCGCCGAGACGAGUGGCGUUUACAUCCCGACAUUGUCAGACUGAUCUGGCAGAGGUUCGGGACGGCGCAGGUGGACCUCUUCGCGUCCAGGGAGAACACGCACUUCAGGUGGUGGUUCUCCCUCAGCCCUCGGGAUCUUCCCCCGUUGGGGGUAGAUGCGUUGGCACACACACCUUGGCCGCGGGCUCUCUUGUAUGCGUUUCCCCCGCUCCAGCUGAUCCUUCCUCUUCUGGAACGGGUCAGACAGGAGAGAUGUCCCUGAUAAUAGUGGCCCCGGAGAACCGUUCAGCUCCGUGUUUUCCAGAGCUGGCUGCGCUCUCGCGGUCGGCGCCGUGGCUGGUACCGUUCAGGCCGGAUGCGCUUUCACAGGCCCACGGGACGGUGCACCACCCGCCCGAUGUCUCAGGACGGCUGUUGGUUUGGCUCCUGAGAGGUUGA